CACGUAGGGGACGAGCGUUGUCCGGAUUCAUUGGGCGUAAAGCGUGCGUAGGUGGUGCGGCGAGUCGGCUGUGAAAUCUCCGGGCUUAACCCGGAAACUGCAUUGGAAACUACCUUGCUAGAGGUUUUGAGGGGGGACUGGAAUUCUCGGUGUAGCAGUGAAAUGCGUAGAUAUCGAGAGGAACACCAGUGGCGAAGGCGAGUCCCUGGAAAACACCUGACACUGAGGCACGAAAGCUAGGGGAGCAAACAGG
RNAcentral lists this ribosomal RNA (253 nucleotides) under uncultured bacterium. Its description in RNAcentral is "partial 16S ribosomal RNA". It matches the Rfam family "Bacterial small subunit ribosomal RNA", at positions 524 to 776 of the family's 1533-position model. The record is from RNAcentral.